CCGUCUGGCCGUGCCGGCUCCCAGUUGGGUACCUCCAUUCUCCUCCAAGCAGCCUCUCAUCCUCCGGGGGGCUAGGCGUGCUACCUCUCUUGGGUAAUACAGCCGCCCAGAGGCCAGCAGGCAGAAUUGGCAAGGACAUCUGAGCUCCAGGGUUGCCUGGGGAAGGAAGCAGGUAAGGACUUGAUUUGUUUGGGGCCGAGGGAACUGUCGCCAGGGACCAGCAGCAAAGAGAAGAGCUUGCCUGAUCUUGCCCUCUGGGAGAAGUGCCACACACAGGGGAUCCCCAGGAGGACUGGGGGGCCAGGUACACGUGAUUCCAGGAUCCAGACUAAAGGCCACCCGUCAGCACUUCUCUCACCAAGCACCCACGUGUCUAUUUAAAUUUAACGCCCUCUUUUUUCGGAGUCCAGCUCUCAGACAGCACUCUCACAGCGCAGGAAGUCAAAGCCAAAUGAGCGGUCAUGUGACUCGGCAGCUGAGACUGUGUCCCAGAUCUUGCCACUGGAACUGUCCAUCGGGGACACCACCACUGUGUGGCUGCCACCAGGCUCCAGCUACCAGCGAGCAGGGAGGGGGAGCAGGGAGACAGCCGCCUGCCCUCCGGCUUCCAAGGUAGGAAGGAGCCCCCUCCGCUGUUUACUCGACAACUGCAAAAGAAUCAGGUGCUUGGAUUCCAC
Long non-coding RNA from Manis pentadactyla (Chinese pangolin), 677 nucleotides. RefSeq lists it as uncharacterized. NCBI's taxonomy places the organism in Eukaryota, Metazoa, Chordata, Mammalia, Pholidota, Manidae. The record is from RefSeq and is a predicted model, not a curated record. The transcript is spliced from 3 exons.